This 333-nucleotide ribosomal RNA is filed under the name Triticum aestivum (bread wheat). RNAcentral describes it as "partial small subunit ribosomal RNA". The record is from RNAcentral. Lineage: Eukaryota; Viridiplantae; Streptophyta; Magnoliopsida; Poales; Poaceae.
AUGCCUGUCAUUGCUUUAAAGCUAGAUUUUCACAAGGCCUUCGACAGUGUCAGUUGGUGCUGCCUUCGCAAGAUCCUGGAGGCCAGGGGUUUUCCUCAAACAUGGACUAACUGGAUAUGUGCCCUUCUGUCUUCUGGCAGCUCUAGGGUUCUACUCAAUGGGGAGAUGGGUCCUCCCAUCACGGCAAAGAAAGGUUUUCGGCAGGGGGACUCUCUCUCCCCGUACCUGUUCAUCCUUGUGGCUGAUGUGCUGCAGAGGAUGUGCUGUCAGUUGUUCCAAGAUGGUUCUUUGCUGCACCCCCUUGGUUCAGACAACUUCUUUCCGAUCCUAUAG